This 1326-nucleotide ribosomal RNA is filed under the name Clostridium perfringens. RNAcentral describes it as "23S ribosomal RNA (partial)". It matches the Rfam family "Bacterial large subunit ribosomal RNA", at positions 1585 to 2925 of the family's 2925-position model. Lineage: Bacteria; Bacillati; Bacillota; Clostridia; Eubacteriales; Clostridiaceae. The record is from RNAcentral.
CCGAAGUACAUGAUUCCACGCUGCCAAGAAAAGCGUCUAGAGAGAGAAGUAGUGCCCGUACCGCAAACCGACACAGGUAGGUGAGGAGAGAAUCCUAAGGCCGGCGGAAGAAUUACAGUUAAGGAACUCGGCAAAUUGACCCCGUAAGUUCGCGAGAAGGGGUGCCUACGAGAGUAGGCCGCAGAGAAUAGGCCCAAGCAACUGUUUAGCAAAAACACAGGUCUCUGCUAAAGCGUAAGCUGAUGUAUAGGGGCUGACGCCUGCCCGGUGCUGGAAGGUUAAGGGGAACACUUAGCGCAAGCGAAGGUGUGAACUUAAGCCCCAGUAAACGGCGGCCGUAACUAUAACGGUCCUAAGGUAGCGAAAUUCCUUGUCAGGUAAGUUCUGACCCGCACGAAUGGCGUAAUGACUUGGGCACUGUCUCAACUGUAAAUCCGGCGAAGUUGUAGUGCGAGUGAAGAUGCUCGCUACCCGCGAUUGGACGGAAAGACCCCGUAGAGCUUUACUGUAGCUUAGCAUUGAGUUUUGGUAUUGUCUGUACAGGAUAGGUGGGAGACUAGGAAACCAGGGCGUCAGCCUUGGUGGAGUCAACCUUGGGAUACCACCCUGACAGUACUGAAAUUCUAACUGGCGGCCAUGAAUCUGGUCACAGGACAUUGUUAGGUGGGCAGUUUGACUGGGGCGGUCGCCUCCUAAAAAGUAACGGAGGCGCCCAAAGGUUCCCUCAGAACGGUCGGAAAUCGUUCGAAGAGUGCAAAGGCAGAAGGGAGCCUGACUGCGACACCCACAAGUGGAGCAGGGACGAAAGUCGGGCUUAGUGAUCCGGUGGUACCUCGUGGGAGGGCCAUCGCUCAACGGAUAAAAGCUACCUCGGGGAUAACAGGCUGAUCUCCCCCAAGAGUCCACAUCGACGGGGAGGUUUGGCACCUCGAUGUCGGCUCGUCGCAUCCUGGGGCUGAAGUAGGUCCCAAGGGUUGGGCUGUUCGCCCAUUAAAGCGGCACGCGAGCUGGGUUCAGAACGUCGUGAGACAGUUCGGUCCCUAUCCGUCGCGGGCGUAGGAAAUUUGAGAGGAGCUGUCCUUAGUACGAGAGGACCGGGAUGGACUGACCUCUGGUGUACCAGUUGUUCCGCCAGGAGCACAGCUGGGUAGCUAAGUCGGGAAUGGAUAAACGCUGAAAGCAUCUAAGCGUGAAGCCAACCUCAAGAUGAGAUUUCCCAUAGCGUAAGCUAGUAAGAUCCCUUGAAGAACACAAGGUUGAUAGGUCGGGGGUGUAAGCAUGGUAACAUGUUCAGCUGACCGAUACUAAUAGAUCGAGGGCUUGACC